Long non-coding RNA from Aptenodytes forsteri (emperor penguin), 327 nucleotides. RefSeq lists it as uncharacterized. The transcript is spliced from 3 exons. NCBI's taxonomy places the organism in Eukaryota, Metazoa, Chordata, Aves, Sphenisciformes, Spheniscidae. The record is from RefSeq and is a predicted model, not a curated record.
GCUGUCUGUCUCUGCCUUCAGGCAGACAGGAGACGCCCCACUUUCCUGGCUCUGUGGAAAUGCUAUUGACGAGGCAGCAGCUGAGCCCACAGCCUCUGUGCAAGGAGUUUCACUGAAGAAAUCCCCUCUGCACGUGCCCAGCAGCCAAAAUUGGCCUUUUCUAGUGGAUGGUGAAACACUGGAAGACCUUUGAAGGACUGCAAAGGAAGGAAGGAAAUUGUUACCAUGUGGUUUGUCUUGCUGUUUAAAUAAGUUAAAAUGGUAAAACCAGAGAAGAGCUGUGGUCCAGUUGAUGAGGUGGUAUAAACCAGAGUUGUGAUGCUAAGG